Molecule: ribosomal RNA, 406 nt
Filed under: uncultured bacterium
Lineage: Bacteria
Description: partial 16S ribosomal RNA
Rfam family: Bacterial small subunit ribosomal RNA
Source: RNAcentral
AUUGAACGCUGGCGGCAGGCCUAACACAUGCAAGUCGAACGAGUGGCGGACGGGUGAGUAAUGUCUGGGAAACUGCCCGAUGGAGGGGGAUAACUACUGGAAACGGUAGCUAAUACCGCAUACCAUCGGAUGUGCCCAGAUGGGAUUAGCUUGUAGGUGAGGUAACGGCUCACCUGGGCGACGAUCCCUAGCUGGUCUGAGAGGAUGACCAGCCACAGUGUAACGUAGCCACGGUCCAUCCUGCUAGGUGAGUGAGCUGGGGGGAAGAUUGCACAAUUGGCGCAAGUCUACUGAAGCCAUGCCGCGUGGGGGACGAAGUCCUUCGGGUUGUCAUGUACUUUCAUCGUGGAUGCGUUACCUGCAUAAGACGCCCCGGUUAACUCCGUUCCAGCAGCCGCGGUAAUAC